This 253-nucleotide ribosomal RNA is filed under the name uncultured bacterium. Its description in RNAcentral is "partial 16S ribosomal RNA". It matches the Rfam family "Bacterial small subunit ribosomal RNA", at positions 524 to 776 of the family's 1533-position model. The record is from RNAcentral.
UACGUAGGGUGCAGGCGUUAAUCGGAAUUACUGGGCGUAAAGCGUGCGCAGGCGGUUUGCUAAGACAGGUGUGAAAUCCCCGGGCUUAACCUGGGAACUGCGCUUGUUACUGGCAAGCUAGAGUGUGGCAGAGGGGGGUGGAAUUCCGCGUGUAGCAGUGAAAUGCGUAGAUAUGCGGAGGAACACCGAUGGCGAAGGCAAUCCCCUGGGCCUGCACUGACGCUCAUGCACGAAAGCGUGGGGAGCAAACAGG